GUUGGUUUUGGAUUUGGUGCAUUGGUCUGUUCAUUGCGCAAGAUCCCAACAUUGUAAACAGGGCUAAAAUCUGGCCUGAACAAACCCCAAUUCCUCUCGGCAGAAGUUCCAGGUUUCAGAUUCUCAUUAAAUAAGGCAAAAAGAUACGUCUCGAACCUCCGGUUUGGCAUCAACGGAGUACCUUUCCCUGAAGUGACAUGCUUGAUCAAAUUCCCAUUAUAAGCAAUCGCAUUCUCCACCGUACAAGCCGGCUGGUUCGGGUCACCGGCGGAGGGCCAACCGGUCUCAGCCA
Molecule: unclassified non-coding RNA, 292 nt
Filed under: Hevea brasiliensis (rubber tree)
Lineage: Eukaryota; Viridiplantae; Streptophyta; Magnoliopsida; Malpighiales; Euphorbiaceae
Source: RNAcentral